RNAcentral lists this ribosomal RNA (2799 nucleotides) under Escherichia coli. Its description in RNAcentral is "bacterial LSU rRNA". It matches the Rfam family "Bacterial large subunit ribosomal RNA". Lineage: Bacteria; Pseudomonadati; Pseudomonadota; Gammaproteobacteria; Enterobacterales; Enterobacteriaceae. The record is from RNAcentral.
UUAAGCGACUAAGCGUACACGGUGGAUGCCCUGGCAGUCAGAGGCGAUGAAGGACGUGCUAAUCUGCGAUAAGCGUCGGUAAGGUGAUAUGAACCGUUAUAACCGGCGAUUUCCGAAUGGGGAAACCCAGUGUGUUUCGACACACUAUCAUUAACUGAAUCCAUAGGUUAAUGAGGCGAACCGGGGGAACUGAAACAUCUAAGUACCCCGAGGAAAAGAAAUCAACCGAGAUUCCCCCAGUAGCGGCGAGCGAACGGGGAGCAGCCCAGAGCCUGAAUCAGUAUGUGUGUUAGUGGAAGCGUCUGGAAAGGCGCGCGAUACAGGGUGACAGCCCCGUACACAAAAAUGCACAUGCUGUGAGCUCGAUGAGUAGGGCGGGACACGUGGUAUCCUGUCUGAAUAUGGGGGGACCAUCCUCCAAGGCUAAAUACUCCUGACUGACCGAUAGUGAACCAGUACCGUGAGGGAAAGGCGAAAAGAACCCCGGCGAGGGGAGUGAAAAAGAACCUGAAACCGUGUACGUACAAGCAGUGGGAGCACGCUUAGGCGUGUGACUGCGUACCUUUUGUAUAAUGGGUCAGCGACUUAUAUUCUGUAGCAAGGUUAACCGAAUAGGGGAGCCGAAGGGAAACCGAGUCUUAACUGGGCGUUAAGUUGCAGGGUAUAGACCCGAAACCCGGUGAUCUAGCCAUGGGCAGGUUGAAGGUUGGGUAACACUAACUGGAGGACCGAACCGACUAAUGUUGAAAAAUUAGCGGAUGACUUGUGGCUGGGGGUGAAAGGCCAAUCAAACCGGGAGAUAGCUGGUUCUCCCCGAAAGCUAUUUAGGUAGCGCCUCGUGAAUUCAUCUCCGGGGGUAGAGCACUGUUUCGGCAAGGGGGUCAUCCCGACUUACCAACCCGAUGCAAACUGCGAAUACCGGAGAAUGUUAUCACGGGAGACACACGGCGGGUGCUAACGUCCGUCGUGAAGAGGGAAACAACCCAGACCGCCAGCUAAGGUCCCAAAGUCAUGGUUAAGUGGGAAACGAUGUGGGAAGGCCCAGACAGCCAGGAUGUUGGCUUAGAAGCAGCCAUCAUUUAAAGAAAGCGUAAUAGCUCACUGGUCGAGUCGGCCUGCGCGGAAGAUGUAACGGGGCUAAACCAUGCACCGAAGCUGCGGCAGCGACACUAUGUGUUGUUGGGUAGGGGAGCGUUCUGUAAGCCUGUGAAGGUGUACUGUGAGGUAUGCUGGAGGUAUCAGAAGUGCGAAUGCUGACAUAAGUAACGAUAAAGCGGGUGAAAAGCCCGCUCGCCGGAAGACCAAGGGUUCCUGUCCAACGUUAAUCGGGGCAGGGUGAGUCGACCCCUAAGGCGAGGCCGAAAGGCGUAGUCGAUGGGAAACAGGUUAAUAUUCCUGUACUUGGUGUUACUGCGAAGGGGGGACGGAGAAGGCUAUGUUGGCCGGGCGACGGUUGUCCCGGUUUAAGCGUGUAGGCUGGUUUUCCAGGCAAAUCCGGAAAAUCAAGGCUGAGGCGUGAUGACGAGGCACUACGGUGCUGAAGCAACAAAUGCCCUGCUUCCAGGAAAAGCCUCUAAGCAUCAGGUAACAUCAAAUCGUACCCCAAACCGACACAGGUGGUCAGGUAGAGAAUACCAAGGCGCUUGAGAGAACUCGGGUGAAGGAACUAGGCAAAAUGGUGCCGUAACUUCGGGAGAAGGCACGCUGAUAUGUAGGUGAAGUCCCUCGCGGAUGGAGCUGAAAUCAGUCGAAGAUACCAGCUGGCUGCAACUGUUUAUUAAAAACACAGCACUGUGCAAACACGAAAGUGGACGUAUACGGUGUGACGCCUGCCCGGUGCCGGAAGGUUAAUUGAUGGGGUCAGCGCAAGCGAAGCUCUUGAUCGAAGCCCCGGUAAACGGCGGCCGUAACUAUAACGGUCCUAAGGUAGCGAAAUUCCUUGUCGGGUAAGUUCCGACCUGCACGAAUGGCGUAAUGAUGGCCAGGCUGUCUCCACCCGAGACUCAGUGAAAUUGAACUCGCUGUGAAGAUGCAGUGUACCCGCGGCAAGACGGAAAGACCCCGUGAACCUUUACUAUAGCUUGACACUGAACAUUGAGCCUUGAUGUGUAGGAUAGGUGGGAGGCUUUGAAGUGUGGACGCCAGUCUGCAUGGAGCCGACCUUGAAAUACCACCCUUUAAUGUUUGAUGUUCUAACGUGGACCCGUNNNNNNNNNNAUCCGGGUUGCGGACAGUGUCUGGUGGGUAGUUUGACUGGGGCGGUCUCCUCCUAAAGAGUAACGGAGGAGCACGAAGGUUGGCUAAUCCUGGUCGGACAUCAGGAGGUUAGUGCAAUGGCAUAAGCCAGCUUGACUGCGAGCGUGACGGCGCGAGCAGGUGCGAAAGCAGGUCAUAGUGAUCCGGUGGUUCUGAAUGGAAGGGCCAUCGCUCAACGGAUAAAAGGUACUCCGGGGAUAACAGGCUGAUACCGCCCAAGAGUUCAUAUCGACGGCGGUGUUUGGCACCUCGAUGUCGGCUCAUCACAUCCUGGGGCUGAAGUAGGUCCCAAGGGUAUGGCUGUUCGCCAUUUAAAGUGGUACGCGAGCUGGGUUUAGAACGUCGUGAGACAGUUCGGUCCCUAUCUGCCGUGGGCGCUGGAGAACUGAGGGGGGCUGCUCCUAGUACGAGAGGACCGGAGUGGACGCAUCACUGGUGUUCGGGUUGUCAUGCCAAUGGCACUGCCCGGUAGCUAAAUGCGGAAGAGAUAAGUGCUGAAAGCAUCUAAGCACGAAACUUGCCCCGAGAUGAGUUCUCCCUGAC